GACGAACGCUGGCGGCGUGCUUAACACAUGCAAGUCGAGCGGUAAGGCCCUUUCGGGGGUACACGAGCGGCGAACGGGUGAGUAACACGUGGGUGACCUGCCCUCAGCUCUGGGAUAAGCCUGGGAAACCGGGUCUAAUACCGGAUAUGACUCCAUGACGCAUGUUGUGGGGUGGAAAGCCUUGUGCGGCUGAGGAUGGGCCCGCGGCCUAUCAGCUUGUUGGUGGGGUGAUGGCCUACCAAGGCGACGACGGGUAGCCGGCCUGAGAGGGCGACCGGCCACACUGGGACUGAGACACGGCCCAGACUCCUACGGGAGGCAGCAGUGGGGAAUCUUGCGCAAUGGGCGAAAGCCUGACGCAGCGACGCCGCGUGAGGGAUGACGGCCU
RNAcentral lists this ribosomal RNA (388 nucleotides) under uncultured bacterium. RNAcentral's name for it is "bacterial SSU rRNA". It matches the Rfam family "Bacterial small subunit ribosomal RNA", at positions 28 to 417 of the family's 1533-position model. The record is from RNAcentral.